CGGAAAUGGUCUAUUGGUUGAUUGCACAAAUCGAAAGUAUUGAAAUGUGUUGAAAGUAAUGUUUUUAAAAUAAUCCCGGUUAUUUUGGUACGUAAUACAGAUUCUGAUGGGUGCGCUAAAGCUAUUAUCAAAAGAAAAUUAUGUGAAACUAGCCCGAACGGUGGUCGUACUGCUGCCUUUAAUGCGCCCCUAAUGGGAGAAUCACUACGGAAAGGUUGAUGGCGACCGGAUCAGCCAAAAUCAUCGGAAAUAACAAUCAGGACAGGUCCCAUCUGGAGGAUUUGCCCAAAUAGAGCUGAGUUUUGCUACGGAGAAAAUUGCAAUCACCCACCUCAGAAUGUUUAGCUGUCGAAUCCGAUGCGAUCAUGUUGCAUUUAGAAGGGGAAGUUGUGUUCGGUUAACCAUACUUCUAUUUAAGUAGCAAUAAUUCGAACACCAUUGAAAAUACAAUAGCAUGGCAAGUUUAUUCUACGCUUAAUCCUACAGUUGAAUAAAAGUAAGAUUCAUUUAUUUAAAGAUG
Molecule: long non-coding RNA, 520 nt
Organism: Aedes aegypti (yellow fever mosquito)
Lineage: Eukaryota; Metazoa; Arthropoda; Insecta; Diptera; Culicidae
Exons: 2
Source: RefSeq, a predicted model, not a curated record